This 191-nucleotide unclassified non-coding RNA is filed under the name rhizosphere metagenome. RNAcentral describes it as "partial ribosomal RNA internal transcribed spacer region". The record is from RNAcentral.
GUAGGUGAACCUGCGGAAGGAUCAUUACCGUGGGGACUCGUCCCCAUUGAGAUAGCACCCUUUGUUUAUGAGUACCCUGUUUCCUCGGCGGGCCCGCCCGCCACGAGGACGUCAAAGAAACCCUUGCAGUAGCAGUACCUUCAGUCAAAAAAUAAAUAUCAAAACUUUCAACAACGGAUCUCUUGGUUCUG